This 1117-nucleotide long non-coding RNA is filed under the name Homo sapiens (human). RNAcentral's name for it is "HSALNT0123532". Lineage: Eukaryota; Metazoa; Chordata; Mammalia; Primates; Hominidae. The record is from RNAcentral.
CAGCCCGGAAAUCCAAUGGGGUGUUCUUGGGGUGCAGAGGAUUUGUGACAGUCCAUACACAGAAAAAGGAAAAGGUGGCUUUGAAGACCCCGCAGGCAGGCGAGAUUUCGGAACAGCCAGGACCUCCUCCGCAUGGGGGAACCGCUCUAGACGCUCAGAGGGGCGGAGUUGAAACGGACCUGACUGGCCAGUGUCUCAAAGACGUGGAUGGUGACCAGCUCUCUCCAGAACAGAUGGCGCUCCAGCUUUGUGGGAGAAACUUUCAACAGUAGGGACUGUGACAUAUCACUGGGCCUAUAACCUAGGUAAUGUGACUCUCCUUUUCUUCCUGUGUUCUGUCCCAGUGAAGAUUAUGACAAAUUUCUGGGCCAGUCAGGUGGUUUGGUGACUCUCAAACCAUGAUUCAGCAGACCUGUGAGGCUGUGAGUUCCCUAUCAGAACACAAUCUGCAGGAAGCGUUGGAACCUAUCACUUAGCCUAGCAUCUAGGUGAUGUGAUUCUCCUCUCUUGCCUGGUUCCUGCCCACUGGAGAGAUUGUGACCCAUUGCUGAGCCCAGGGCCAAGGUGAUGUCACUCUCCUGCCUUGGCUGUGCCCAUGGGGGCCACUGUGACACCUGUCUAGGCUAAUAACUUAAGUGAAGCGAGUCUCCUUUCCUGCCUAAGCUCUGCCUACAGGGGGGAUUUUGAUAUAUCACUGGGCCCAACAGCCAGGUUGUAUUGUGCCAUAUAUCUGUGUCCAAAUUAUAAGCACAAUGAUGAAUCUUUUACUGGGAGUCAAGAUAUGUGCAGGAUGGUGAAACUUAUCACUGGACCUUUCCACAGUGUUAUUGUCACAUAUACCUUUGUCCAACAUGUGAGUGAUUUGACUCUGCAGACUGGGUCCAGUUCACAAACAAAAUUGUGCCAUAUACCUGGGCCAAGAACCUAAUAGGUAUGACUCAUGUGCCUGGGCCCUGCCUUCAGAAAGAUAGUGACAUUACACUGCACCCAGCACCUAAGAGGUGUGAUUCUCUUCUUCUACAUGGGGCCUGCCCACAGCAAGACUUGUGACAUAUCGAUGGAGUCUUGCUCUGUUGCCCAGGCUGGAAUGCAAUGAUGCAAUCUCAGCUCACUGCAA